GAUGAACGCUGGCGGCGUGCCUAAUACAUGCAAGUCGAGCGAACAGACGAGGAUCUUGCUCCUCUGACGUUAGCGGCGGACGGGUGAGUAACACGUGGAUACCCUCCCUAUAAGACUGGGAUAACUUCGGGAAACCGGCGCUUAUACCGGAUAAUAUCUUGAACCGCAUGGUUCAAUAGUAAAAGACGGUUUUGCUGGCACUUAUAGAUGGAUCCGCGCCGCAUUAGCUAGUUGGUAAGGUAACGGCUUAACAAGGCAACGAUGCGUAGCCGACCUGAGAGGGUGAUCGGCCACACUGGAACUGAGACACGGUCCAGACUCCUACGGGAGGCAGCAGUAGGGAAUCUUCCGCAAUGGGCGAAAGCCUGACGGAGCAACGCCGCGUGAGUGAUGAAGGUCUUCGGAUCGUAAAACUCUGUUAUUAGGGAAGAACAAAUGUGUAAGUAACUAUGCACGUCUUGACGGUACCUAAUCAGAAAGCCACGGCUAACUACGUG
This 497-nucleotide ribosomal RNA is filed under the name uncultured bacterium. RNAcentral's name for it is "partial 16S ribosomal RNA". It matches the Rfam family "Bacterial small subunit ribosomal RNA", at positions 28 to 507 of the family's 1533-position model. The record is from RNAcentral.